Non-coding RNA from Bos taurus (domestic cattle), 73 nucleotides. The record is from Rfam. NCBI's taxonomy places the organism in Eukaryota, Metazoa, Chordata, Mammalia, Artiodactyla, Bovidae.
UCCCUGGUGGUCCAGUGGCUAAGACUCCGUGCUGCCAGUGCAGGGGGCCCGGGUUCAAUCCCUGGUCAGGGAA